Molecule: ribosomal RNA, 429 nt
Filed under: Pseudomonadota bacterium
Lineage: Bacteria; Pseudomonadati; Pseudomonadota
Description: Proteobacteria bacterium partial 16S ribosomal RNA
Rfam family: Bacterial small subunit ribosomal RNA
Source: RNAcentral
UGGGGAAUAUUGGACAAUGGGCGAAAGCCUGAUCCAGCCAUGCCGCGUGUGUGAAGAAGGUCUUCGGAUUGUAAAGCACUUUAAGUUGGGAGGAAGGGCAGUAAGCGAAUACCUUGCUGUUUUGACGUUACCGACAGAAUAAGCACCGGCUAACUCUGUGCCAGCAGCCGCGGUAAUACAGAGGGUGCAAGCGUUAAUCGGAAUUACUGGGCGUAAAGCGCGCGUAGGUGGUUCGUUAAGUUGAAUGUGGAAGCCCCGGGCUCAACCUGGGAACUGCAUCCAAAACUGGCGAGAUAGAGGAGGGCAGAGGGUGGUGGAAUUUCCUGUGUAGCGGUGAAAUGCGUAGAUAUAGGAAGGAACACCAGUGGCGAAGGCGACCACCUGGGCUCAUACUGACACUGAGGUGCGAAAGCGUGGGGAGCAAACAGG